GUGCAGCAGUCGAGAAUACUCUGCAAUGCGCGAAAGCGCGACAGGGUUACCCCGAGUGUCGUCCGCUGAGGACGACUUUUCCCCAGUGUAGAUAGCUGGGGGAAUAAGGAGAGGGCAAGUCUGGUGUCAGCCGCCGCGGUAAUACCAGCUCUCCGAGUGGUGGGGACGCUUAUUGGGCCUAAAGCAUCCGUAGCCGGUCUAACAAGUCCCUUGUUAAAUCCAGCGAUUCAAUCGCUGGACUGCAAGGGGAUACUGUUAGACUAGGGGGCGGGAGAGGCCGACGGUAUUCCCGGGGUAGGGGUGGAAAUCCUAUAAUCCCGGGAGGACCACCAGUGGCGAAGGCUGUCGGCUAGAACGCGCCCGACGGUGAGGGAUGAAAGCUGGGGGAGCGAACCGGAUUAGAUACCCCUGUAGU
This 415-nucleotide ribosomal RNA is filed under the name uncultured microorganism. Its description in RNAcentral is "bacterial SSU rRNA". It matches the Rfam family "Archaeal small subunit ribosomal RNA", at positions 330 to 745 of the family's 1478-position model. The record is from RNAcentral.